Molecule: ribosomal RNA, 249 nt
Filed under: uncultured bacterium
Lineage: Bacteria
Description: partial small subunit ribosomal RNA
Rfam family: Bacterial small subunit ribosomal RNA
Source: RNAcentral
AGAAUCAACGCUGGCGGCGUGCCUAACACAUGCAAGUCGAACGAGAAAGUGGAGCAAUCCAUGAGUAAAGUGGCGCACGGGUGAGUAACACGUGACUAACCUACCCUUGAGUGGGGAAUAACUGAGGGAAACCUUCGCUAAUACCGCAUAACACCUACGGGUCAAAGGAGCAAUUCGCUUAAGGAGGGGGGUCGCGGCAGAUUAGCUAGUUGGCGGGGUAAUGGCCCACCAAGGCAGUGAUCUGUAUCC